GUGCAGCCGCCGCGGUCAUACCGGCAGCCCGAGUGAUGGCCGAUAUUAUUGGGCCUAAAGCGUCCGUAGCUGGCCGAACAAGUCCGUCGAGAAAUCCACGUGCUUGACACGUGGGCGACCGGCGGACACUGUUCGGCUUGGGGCCGGAGGACCCGAGGGGUACGUCCGGGGUAGGAGUGAAAUCCUGUAAUCCUGGACGGACCGCCGGUGGCGAAAGCGCCUCGGGAAGACGGACCCGACAGUGAGGGACGAAAGCCAGGGUCUCCAACCGGAUUAGAUACCCGGGUAGUCC
RNAcentral lists this ribosomal RNA (292 nucleotides) under uncultured bacterium. RNAcentral's name for it is "partial 16S ribosomal RNA". It matches the Rfam family "Archaeal small subunit ribosomal RNA", at positions 455 to 747 of the family's 1478-position model. The record is from RNAcentral.